This 493-nucleotide ribosomal RNA is filed under the name uncultured bacterium. RNAcentral's name for it is "partial 16S ribosomal RNA". It matches the Rfam family "Bacterial small subunit ribosomal RNA", at positions 30 to 523 of the family's 1533-position model. The record is from RNAcentral.
AUUGAACGCUGGCGGCAUGCCUUACACAUGCAAGUCGAACGGUAACAGGUUAAGCUGACGAGUGGCGAACGGGUGAGUAAUGUAUCGGAACGUGCCCGGUCGUGGGGGAUAACUACUCGAAAGAGUGGCUAAUACCGCAUACGACCUGAGGGUGAAAGAGGGGGACCGUAAGGCCUCGCGCGCUUGGAGCGGCCGAUAUACGAUUAGCUAGUUGGCGGGGUAAAAGCCCACCAAGGCGACGAUCUAUAGCUGGUCUGAGAGGACGACCAGCCACACUGGGACUGAGACACGGCCCAGACUCCUACGGGAGGCAGCAGUGGGGAAUUUUGGACAAUGGACGCAAGUCUGAUCCAGCCAUGCCGCGUGCGGGAAGAAGGCCUUCGGGUUGUAAACCGCUUUUGUCAGGGAAGAAACGAGUUUCUCUAAUACAGAGACUUAAUGACGGUACCUGAAGAAUAAGCACCGGCUAACUACGUGCCAGCCGCCGCAGUAA